Non-coding RNA from Triticum urartu, 134 nucleotides. Lineage: Eukaryota; Viridiplantae; Streptophyta; Magnoliopsida; Poales; Poaceae. The record is from Rfam.
UAUAUACUCCCUCCGUCCGGAAAUACUUGUCAUCAAAAUGGAUAAAAGGGAUGUAUCUAGAUGUAUUUUAGUUUUAGAUACAUCCCUUUUUGUCCAUUUUGAUGACAAGUAUUUUUGGACGGAGGGAGUAUAAU